GCUGGGCAAGAUGGCGCACGUCUGUAAUCCCAGCAGCUCAGGAGGCUGAGGCAGGAGGAUCGCAAGUUCAAACCAGCCUCAGCAACUUAGUAAGGCUCUAAGCAACUCAGUGAGACCCUGUCUCUA
This 126-nucleotide small RNA is filed under the name Marmota monax (woodchuck). Lineage: Eukaryota; Metazoa; Chordata; Mammalia; Rodentia; Sciuridae. The record is from RNAcentral.